Bactrocera tryoni is the source of this 1511-nucleotide long non-coding RNA. RefSeq lists it as uncharacterized. The record is from RefSeq and is a predicted model, not a curated record. Lineage: Eukaryota; Metazoa; Arthropoda; Insecta; Diptera; Tephritidae. The transcript has 3 exons.
CAUGCAUUUCGAUCGUAGCUCCGUUCUGCUAAGUUGCAAUUUUGUUGGCGGAGAACUUUUUGUGUUUUUAUUUUGCUGCGAAAAUUUUAUUAUUUGCGUGAUUUUUUUUGAAAUUACUAAAAAUGUCAAAAACAACAACACCAUAGCAAUAUGGAAAAUUGACAGAUAUGAUGGAGAGUAAGCCAACGUCCUAAAGAAGAUGUGCAGGCUUUUUGGAAAGAGGUAGCAUCAAAUUUAAAUGCACUUGGUCCUCCACCAAAAGACUCAAAUGCAUGGAGAAAGGUCUGCAUUGACUGGAAGUGAUAUUUGUAUCAAACGCAAGCUAACUAGCCAUAAGAAGGAAAUGAUGAGCACAGGGCGAGGGCAAUGUCGUUCACAACGUAUAAGUCCACUUGAGGAGAAAAUUGUGCGCUUAACGGGGUUGGAAAGGAGUACAAGUGGAAUAAAGAAUACGUACGAUUAUAGCGAUAGCACACAAGACGCAGCCCGAACCUCCGAAAUGGACAUUUCGACACAUUCAGGCGAUGUGCCGUCAACCAGCAGAGCUAGCAGCCAUAACAGAGAGAGAGACAGCCACUUUGACACGGUUGACUGUGCCAUUCCAACAUUGUGGUCUGUGCCAACUCCAUGCUAGUAACUGCCUUCCGCAAAAAAUCUUAAAGCGGAUACUAAAAUGUUAAGCGGAGAUAACGAGGACAAAGUACUUGCCGUCGUUUCUUCCGCAAAAGUAUCUAGGACAUACUUGAAUGCGUCCUUAUUCAGACGAAAGUUUUUUUUGAAUCUAAAUAAGUAAACAAACUGUAAGAAAAUUGUCUACUUUCACGUGCAAUUACUUACAGCCCGUCAUUCAUCUGGAAGGGAUCGCACAUAUCUCGUAACCUUCUCCUUUCAAUUCUCACCCCAGCAUUCUGAGAUGUGCUGCUCUCCUCCUCAACCAGUAAUAUCGCCGCGGAUAAAGAUUCCAUACUUACGCUAAAUAAAAAUAAUAACAAUAUAAAAAUUUUACUUUUAUUUAAUUUCUUUGAACACCAGUAAUUUGUGUAUUUUUGCUUUGUUAUGUUCCAGUUUCACAUAUUUCAAGGCAAACAGCUGAUUUCGAAAGAGUUAUAGCUCUUCCUCUUCUUCUUUCAAUCCAAUUGCAACGCAUGAUACCUAAUUUCGACUCCGGCUUAGCGUAGAGCGGGAACGUAAUCAAAGUGCAUGAUAGGGGUGAACAUUGUUCAAAAUAAAGUUUUCUUACACCUGAAGUAAAAAGAAUAAAUAUACAUAUGUAUACUCGUAUAAUGUUCGCUUACAUUCGAAUAUUAAUAUUCGAAUAUGUUUAUUUAUAUCUGUCAUGUCAACGUAAGAAUCAAUACUUACAGCUGGUCUAAUCCUUUGUUAACGUUUAUAAAAAAAUAUUAUCUAUUUUAGGUAUAUAGUAUCACACGAGAAGUGUCAGUUUGGGCAGUUUCGAUAACGAAGCUUAUAUAUUAUUUUCUAUGAGACAGUGGUUUUGUAAAAGGCCUCGA